RNAcentral lists this ribosomal RNA (479 nucleotides) under uncultured bacterium. RNAcentral describes it as "partial 16S ribosomal RNA". It matches the Rfam family "Bacterial small subunit ribosomal RNA", at positions 28 to 507 of the family's 1533-position model. The record is from RNAcentral.
GAUGAACGCUAGCGGGAGGCCUAACACAUGCAAGCCGAGCGGUAGAGAUUCUUCGGAAUCUUGAGAGCGGCGUACGGGUGCGGAACACGUGUGCAACCUGCCUUUAUCAGGGGGAUAGCCUUUCGAAAGGAAGAUUAAUACCCCAUAAUAUAUUUGAUGGCAUCAUUAGAUAUUGAAAGCUUUGGCGGAUAGAGAUGGGCACGCGCAAGAUUAGAUAGUUGGUGAGGUAACGGCUCACCAAGUCGAUGAUCUUUAGGGGGCCUGAGAGGGUGAUCCCCCACACUGGUACUGAGACACGGACCAGACUCCUACGGGAGGCAGCAGUGAGGAAUAUUGGACAAUGGGUUAGCGCCUGAUCCAGCCAUCCCGCGUGAAGGACGACGGCCCUAUGGGUUGUAAACUUCUUUUGUACAGGGAUAAACCUACUCUCGUGAGAGUAGCUGAAGGUACUGGACGAAUAAGCACCGGCUAACUCCGUG